AAGUCGUAACAAGGUUUCCGUAGGUGAACCUGCGGAAGGAUCAUUAUUGAAUUCAAAUGCAGACGCUGUCGCUGGCUCGUCAAGAGCAUAUGCACGCUGGCGCAUAUAUUCAACCACCUGUGAACCUAUUGUAGACCUGAGGAUAUUUCUCAAGGAAACUUGGACGUAGAGCUUGUUGGCUUCAUCUGAAGUCGACUGCCCUUGCUUCUCAGGUCUAUGUUUUUCAUAUACCCCAUAAUAUGUUACAGAAUGUAAAAUGGCUUGUAUAAGCCUUUAACCUUAUACAACUUUCAACAACGGAUCUCUUGGCUCUC
RNAcentral lists this unclassified non-coding RNA (314 nucleotides) under air metagenome. RNAcentral describes it as "partial contains small subunit ribosomal RNA, internal transcribed spacer 1, and 5.8S ribosomal RNA". The stretch from base 1 to 46 matches the Rfam family "Eukaryotic small subunit ribosomal RNA", at positions 1786 to 1831 of the family's 1831-position model. The record is from RNAcentral.